Molecule: ribosomal RNA, 660 nt
Filed under: Halomonas magadiensis
Lineage: Bacteria; Pseudomonadati; Pseudomonadota; Gammaproteobacteria; Oceanospirillales; Halomonadaceae
Description: partial 16S ribosomal RNA
Rfam family: Bacterial small subunit ribosomal RNA
Source: RNAcentral
ACCUANAGGANGCCUAACANGUGCAAUNCNNGCGNAAACAGNGGUAGCUUGCUNCNCGCGUGACAANCGGCGGACGGGUGAGUAAUGCAUAGGAAUCUGCCCGAUAGUGGGGGAUAACCUGGGGAAACCCAGGCUAAUACCGCAUACGUCCUACGGGAGAAAGGGGGCUCCGGCUCCCGCUAUCGGAUGAGCCUAUGUCGGAUUAGCUGGUUGGUGAGGUAAAGGCUCACCAAGGCGACGAUCCGUAGCUGGUCUGAGAGGAUGAUCAGCCACAUCGGGACUGAGACACGGCCCGAACUCCUACGGGAGGCAGCAGUGGGGAAUAUUGGACAAUGGGGGGAACCCUGAUCCAGCCAUGCCGCGUGUGUGAANAAGGCCCUCGGGUUGUAAAGCACUUUCAGUGAGGAANAACGCCUGGUGGUUAAUACCCAUCAGGAAAGACAUCACUCACAGAAGAAGCACCGGCUAACUCCGUGCCAGCAGCCGCGGUAAUANGGAGGGUGCGAGCGUUAAUCGGAAUUACUGGGCGUAAAGCGCGCGUAGGUGGCUUGAUAAGCCGGUUGUGAAAGCCCCGGGCUCAACCUGGGAACGGCAUCCGGAACUGUCAAGCUAGAGUGCAGGAGAGGAAGGUAGAAUUCCCGGUGUAGCGGUGAAAUGCGU